GGGGGUGAGGCACUGGGUGCACAACCCUCGGCGGGCCUCAGAACUCCUCCGAAGCUGCUUCCAGGAGCGAAACUAGUUGUGUUACUUAAAAGGAAAAAAAAAUUGGGAAAGAUAACGCACAUGCUUCAAGAGAGGCAGGAGGUUUUUAUCUGCUAACAAUUUUACCACUGAAAGGAAGAAGACUGAGACGGACUGAGAUGGAAGAUUACAUCAAAGUACUACAAAUAUGGUAUGUGGAUUGGAAUGCCGGAACUAAGGGGGGGGAAACGACUUUUUAUUUCUUUUGCUCUAUGUGAUUAUUAAUAACCCUCCCCCUGAAGAUCUGUCUCAGAAAUUAAUUGCAAAUGGGACUAAAAAUGAAUUGUGUGGGAAUAAUUAUGAACUUAAAGGUUUUACUCUGUGAAGGAUUUGGAAAGAAGAAGGGCUCUCUCUUGUGACGCAGUAAGAAUGGAAACUUGAUAAGAGACCUGUGUUGCUGGAGUUGGUCUUGGGGAGAGCGAGCCGAAGAUAUAUUAUUUUCGAGGAGAUUGUGAACUGGAAGAGGCAGCCCUCCUGCAAAAAGACUAAUUUACGAUGCAACAGGUCGGAAAAGCUAAAGAGCGAGUUUCUAGACUGUAUUUCAUCGGAACGACAAAAAUGGCGAUUACUCGCUCGAGCGGAAAGGACUGUUGGAGGAGAGUGAUUUACGAAAGAGCAGCACAAAGCCCACACAGAAAUACAAAUAAGACUGUCUUUUUCAACCCACUUGCGGAGCAUAUCGGAGGAAAAUGGAAAGGAAAAUGAGUAAUGACAAGUAUUGAGAAGAGGAAACUGGAAACAUCAUUCUUAAUAUGGAAGCAGAACAAAUAUUCGAGGAUUGGACUCCUGCCAAUCAAGAAGCAUGGGUACCCCCCACAAAAAUUUAUAAUUUGGAAAACAAUUGGAUUAUAUGAUAUGUAUUGUUAUAAUUUGGACUAAUUGAUUUGAUGUGUUUAAUUUGGAAAUAUGAAAUUUAAUAAAAA
Podarcis lilfordi (Lilford's wall lizard) is the source of this 1001-nucleotide non-coding RNA. The record is from the annotation of a GenBank genome assembly. Lineage: Eukaryota; Metazoa; Chordata; Lepidosauria; Squamata; Lacertidae.